CCCCCCCCCUCUUGGGUUGCAUAGCUGGACAACACAUAGCCUUAUGGAUAUCACAAUAAACUAUAGUAUUUUUAGUUAAGUCAGAUCCUUCAUUUUUAUUCAGUCAUAUCUGAAAAAUACUACUCUUGUGGAUAUCACAACAAAGCAACAUAUUCCAAUAUAUCGUAAAGCAUAUAAUAUGCACCAAGACAAACCCACAUCAAUCUCCAUAGCAAGCCUUGUGGAUAUCACAACAAACCUACUAUGAUUUUUGAUAGGGUAUUGACUAAGCAUGAAGGAAGGUAUGUGUAGUAUUUAAAAUACUGAGCUACCUUUAUUCAAGAUUCAAAUUAAUCCAAAUGGCAAGAAAUAUAUUAAGAUUGGUGGGGGUCCCCUCGUUGCUUUUCUUAGACACCAAUAAAAUUAGCCAGGCC
Molecule: long non-coding RNA, 413 nt
Filed under: Elaeis guineensis (African oil palm)
Lineage: Eukaryota; Viridiplantae; Streptophyta; Magnoliopsida; Arecales; Arecaceae
Description: long non-coding RNA (EGUI_LNC061917)
Source: RNAcentral